RNAcentral lists this ribosomal RNA (447 nucleotides) under uncultured bacterium. RNAcentral's name for it is "bacterial SSU rRNA". It matches the Rfam family "Bacterial small subunit ribosomal RNA", at positions 329 to 792 of the family's 1533-position model. The record is from RNAcentral.
UCCCAGACUCCUACGGGAGGCAGCAGUGGGGAAUAUUGCACAAUGGGGGGAACCCUGAUGCAGCGACGCCGCGUGGGUGAAGAAGCGCCUCGGCGCGUAAAGCCCUGUCAGCAGGGAAGAAAAUGACGGUACCUGAAGAAGAAGCCCCGGCUAACUACGUGCCAGCAGCCGCGGUAAUACGUAGGGGGCAAGCGUUAUCCGGAUUUACUGGGUGUAAAGGGGGCGCAGACGGCAGUGCAAGUCUGGAGUGAAAGGCGGGGGCUCAACCCCCGGGACUGCAUUUGGAACUGUAUGGCUGGAGUGUCGGAGAGGCAGGCGGAAUUCCUAGUGUAGCGGUGAAAUGCGUAGAUAUUAGGAGGAACACCAGUGGCGAAGGCGGCCUGCUGGACGAUGACUGACGUUGAGGCUCGAAAGCGUGUGGAGCAAACAGGAUUAGAUACCCUCGUA